AGUCACUGACAUUAGACUACCCGUGUAGUCCUAGCCGUAAACGAUACUCGCUAGGUGUCGGCCACGGUGCGACCGUUGUCGGUGCCGUAGGGAAGCCGUGAAGCGAGCCACCGUGGGAAGUACGGCCGCAAGGCUAGAAACUUAAAGGAAUUGGCGGGGAGCACAACAACGGGUGGAGCUUGCGGUUUAAUUGGAUUCAACGCCGGAAAUCUUACCGGGACCGACAGCAACAUGAAGGCCAAGCUGAAGACUUUGCCGGAUUAGCUG
RNAcentral lists this ribosomal RNA (267 nucleotides) under uncultured archaeon. Its description in RNAcentral is "partial 16S ribosomal RNA". It matches the Rfam family "Archaeal small subunit ribosomal RNA", at positions 718 to 982 of the family's 1478-position model. The record is from RNAcentral.